Non-coding RNA from Salmo salar (Atlantic salmon), 501 nucleotides. Lineage: Eukaryota; Metazoa; Chordata; Actinopteri; Salmoniformes; Salmonidae. The record is from RefSeq and is a predicted model, not a curated record.
GCUCAGUCAUUUAAUUCGCGAUAAAUGGAGUUAACCGUGAGUUAUGCCGCGUUCAUAACAACUGGCACUGGGAAAAAAAAUGAACUCGGAAUUCCAAAUCGGACACUCAGGAUCUUUCUAGAGUUGACUUCCCGACCUGAAGAUCACUGACGUCAUGAUUUAAACUCGUUCCCAGUUGUCAUGAAAGUACCAUUAGCAUUCCCCGGAGCAGGUUAGAUAUGAAUGUACCUGGCUAAAAGUUGCUAGGUACCAGUAAGUAGGAGCAGCUGAAGAGGGCUGCAGAAAUAAAAAUAAGAUGGUUGAGAAGAGGUGGACAUUGGAGGAUGAGAUGAGCACCUUCAGCAAGAAGAAAGCAGCUACUGAACUGCUCUGUGGCCACUCCUUCAACACCACUGCAAACGGCUGUCUGUUGCUGGCAUGCUGAAAUGUGGAGCGCAUGGAACAGAGGAUAUUCUCGGAAAAAGCUCUCAGAAGGCGCCAGAACGGGGAAUGAUGACUCUG